RNAcentral lists this ribosomal RNA (869 nucleotides) under Massilia sp. PDD-3b-19. Its description in RNAcentral is "bacterial SSU rRNA". It matches the Rfam family "Bacterial small subunit ribosomal RNA", at positions 57 to 924 of the family's 1533-position model. The record is from RNAcentral. Lineage: Bacteria; Pseudomonadati; Pseudomonadota; Betaproteobacteria; Burkholderiales; Oxalobacteraceae.
GCAAGUCGAACGGCAGCGCGGGGCAACCUGGCGGCGAGUGGCGAACGGGUGAGUAAUAUAUCGGAACGUACCCAAGAGUGGGGGAUAACGUAGCGAAAGUUACGCUAAUACCGCAUACGAUCUAAGGAUGAAAGCGGGGGAUCGCAAGACCUCAUGCUCCUGGAGCGGCCGAUAUCUGAUUAGCUAGUUGGUGAGGUAAAGGCUCACCAAGGCGACGAUCAGUAGCUGGUCUGAGAGGACGACCAGCCACACUGGAACUGAGACACGGUCCAGACUCCUACGGGAGGCAGCAGUGGGGAAUUUUGGACAAUGGGCGCAAGCCUGAUCCAGCAAUGCCGCGUGAGUGAAGAAGGCCUUCGGGUUGUAAAGCUCUUUUGUCAGGGAAGAAACGGUAGAAGCUAAUAUCCCUUGCUAAUGACGGUACCUGAAGAAUAAGCACCGGCUAACUACGUGCCAGCAGCCGCGGUAAUACGUAGGGUGCAAGCGUUAAUCGGAAUUACUGGGCGUAAAGCGUGCGCAGGCGGUUUUGUAAGUCUGUCGUGAAAGCCCCGGGCUCAACCUGGGAAUUGCGAUGGAGACUGCAAGGCUUGAAUCUGGCAGAGGGGGGUAGAAUUCCACGUGUAGCAGUGAAAUGCGUAGAGAUGUGGAGGAACACCGAUGGCGAAGGCAGCCCCCUGGGUCAAGAUUGACGCUCAUGCACGAAAGCGUGGGGAGCAAACAGGAUUAGAUACCCUGGUAGUCCACGCCCUAAACGAUGUCUACUAGUUGUCGGGUUUUAAUUAACUUGGUAACGCAGCUAACGCGUGAAGUAGACCGCCUGGGGAGUACGGUCGCAAGAUUAAAACUCAAAGGAAUUGACGGGGACCCGC